This 585-nucleotide ribosomal RNA is filed under the name uncultured beta proteobacterium. Its description in RNAcentral is "bacterial SSU rRNA". It matches the Rfam family "Bacterial small subunit ribosomal RNA", at positions 197 to 763 of the family's 1533-position model. The record is from RNAcentral. Lineage: Bacteria; Pseudomonadati; Pseudomonadota; Betaproteobacteria.
CGGAUGAAAGCAGGGGACCGCAAGGCCUUGCGCGAACGGAGCGGCCGAUGGCAGAUUAGGUAGUUGGUGGGAUAAAAGCUUACCAAGCCGACGAUCUGUAGCUGGUCUGAGAGGACGACCAGCCACACUGGGACUGAGACACGGCCCAGACUCCUACGGGAGGCAGCAGUGGGGAAUUUUGGACAAUGGGCGAAAGCCUGAUCCAGCCAUGCCGCGUGCAGGAUGAAGGCCUUCGGGUUGUAAACUGCUUUUGUACGGAACGAAAAGACUCUGGUUAAUACCUGGGGUCCAUGACGGUACCGUAAGAAUAAGCACCGGCUAACUACGUGCCAGCAGCCGCGGUAAUACGUAGGGUGCAAGCGUUAAUCGGAAUUACUGGGCGUAAAGCGUGCGCAGGCGGUUAUAUAAGACAGAUGUGAAAUCCCCGGGCUCAACCUGGGAACUGCAUUUGUGACUGUAUAGCUAGAGUACGGCAGAGGGGGAUGGAAUUCCGCGUGUAGCAGUGAAAUGCGUAGAUAUGCGGAGGAACACCGAUGGCGAAGGCAAUCCCCUGGGCCUGUACUGACGCUCAUGCACGAAAGCGUG